UACGGGGGGGGCAAGCGUUGUUCGGAAUUACUGGGCGUAAAGGGCUCGUAGGUGGUCAACUAAGUCAGACGUGAAAUCCCUCGGCUUAACCGGGGAACUGCGUCUGAUACUGGAUGGCUUGAGUUCGGGAGAGGGAUGCGGAAUUCCAGGUGUAGCGGUGAAAUGCGUAGAUAUCUGGAGGAACACCGGUGGCGAAGGCGGCAUCCUGGACCGACACUGACACUGAGGAGCGAAAGCCAGGGGAGCAAACGGG
This 253-nucleotide ribosomal RNA is filed under the name uncultured bacterium. RNAcentral's name for it is "partial 16S ribosomal RNA". It matches the Rfam family "Bacterial small subunit ribosomal RNA", at positions 524 to 776 of the family's 1533-position model. The record is from RNAcentral.